GACAGAGGGUGCAAACGUUUUUCGGAAUUACUGGGCGUAAAGCGAGUGUAGGCGGUCUGAAAAGUCGGGUGUGAAAGCCCCGGGCUCAACCCGGGAAGUGCACUCGAAACUGCCAGGCUAGAGUAUCGGAGAGGUUGGUGGAAUUCUCGGUGUAGAGGUGAAAUUCGUAGAUAUCGAGAGGAACACCGGUGGCGAAGGCGGCCAACUGGACGAAUACUGACGCUGAGACUCGAAAGCGUGGGGAGCAAACAGG
This 253-nucleotide ribosomal RNA is filed under the name uncultured bacterium. Its description in RNAcentral is "partial 16S ribosomal RNA". It matches the Rfam family "Bacterial small subunit ribosomal RNA", at positions 524 to 776 of the family's 1533-position model. The record is from RNAcentral.